GCCAAACUUGAAGCAAGGGUGAAGAGGCCAGGUGGAAGAAUGAGAAGGGAAGGAGAACAAGGCACUAUGAUUGCUGGAAGCAACUAAUUUCAUCACUUCCACUAAUGGCUGAGAAUGGCAGGGAUCAAUUCUCUCAAGCAAUCAAGCAAACAAAUCUAGCCGUUAGAAUUGUUGUCAGUUGCUCGGUUGCUUCAUCAGCACUGCAGAUUGGGACAACUCUAUUAAGAAGUUGUCUCCAUAUAUAGUUUCUAAGUUGAGCAAUUCCAAUUUUUGAGUGUGAGGUGGGUAAACUUGCUGAACCUCAAUGUAGAACUCUACCUAUCCUCCUGGUCUGAAAAAAAAUGAUGCUUCAUUUGUACAAUUGAUACUGAUUUUUGGGGUCAAUGUAGCACUUUAUCUUCAUGUGGUUCUCGUAUAUUCGUAACCUUUGUGAAGGUAUAUAUUGUCCAUGUGAAUUGUUAUCAAAUGGGUUCUAGCCAAUUUGGAUGAGA
Molecule: long non-coding RNA, 491 nt
Organism: Vitis vinifera (wine grape)
Lineage: Eukaryota; Viridiplantae; Streptophyta; Magnoliopsida; Vitales; Vitaceae
Exons: 2
Source: RefSeq, a predicted model, not a curated record